Molecule: ribosomal RNA, 324 nt
Filed under: Vibrio cholerae
Lineage: Bacteria; Pseudomonadati; Pseudomonadota; Gammaproteobacteria; Vibrionales; Vibrionaceae
Description: bacterial SSU rRNA
Rfam family: Bacterial small subunit ribosomal RNA
Source: RNAcentral
CUCAGGACGAACGCUGGCGGCAGGCCUAACACAUGCAAGUCGAGCGAGCUUGCCUAUAGAAAUUCUUCGGAAUGGACAUAGAUACAAGCUAGCGGCGGACGGGUGAGUAAUGCCUGGGAAACUGCCCUUAAGUCUGGGAUACCAUUUGGAAACAGAUGCUAAUACCGGAUAAAAGCUACUUUCGCAUGAAAGAAGUUUAAAAGGCGGCGUAAGCUGUCGCUAAAGGAUGGACCUGCGAUGCAUUAGCUAGUUGGUAAGGUAACGGCUUACCAAGGCGAUGAUGCAUAGCCGAGUUGAGAGACUGAUCGGCCACAUUGGGCCUGA